UACGAAGGGGGCUAGCGUUGUUCUGAAUUACUGGGCGUAAAGCGCACGUAGGCGGACUACUAAGUCAGGGGUGAAAUCCCGGGGCUCAACCCCGGAACUGCCUUUGAUACUGAUAGUCUCGAGUCCGGAAGAGGUGAGUGGAAUUCCGAGUGUAGAGGUGAAAUUCGUAGAUAUUCGGAGGAACACCAGUGGCGAAGGCGGCUCACUGGUCCGGUACUGACGCUGAGGUGCGAAAGCGUGGGGAGCAAACAGG
Molecule: ribosomal RNA, 253 nt
Filed under: uncultured bacterium
Lineage: Bacteria
Description: partial 16S ribosomal RNA
Rfam family: Bacterial small subunit ribosomal RNA
Source: RNAcentral